CACUGUAUCACCGCAUGCAUCUCUGCUCACUCAGACCACACCCCCAUGAGUCGGAUGCAACACUCUAGUGAUGGAGAUGUAGAGUUUUAUAAGUAAUGAGGGCUUUACUUUAUAAGUAAAGCAGACUAAGGUGAUUAGAACUCAAUGGAAUGUCAAGUCUGUAAAUCUUUAAACCAUGAAGAUGGUUGGAUAGUUCAGGAAUUGGGCUUCUUUUUAUUAUGGGCAGUCCUUUCACUCGGAUGCUCACUGGAGCUGUACAUGUGUUGGCUGGCUCGCAUGAUUUGCUGUUGGUGAUGAGGCGGUCAGGGUGACGUUGCAGGGCUAUGGUCGGCUCUCUGUGAGCUCAACGUUUAGAUUUGCUCUGUAUGUUUUUGUACCCUGAAUAAUCUAGAUAAUUGUAAAAUGUAGACACGGUUUUAUAUUGAAUGAUUCCAGGAUUUUAGGUUUAAAGUUGUUGUGGGACCUACAUGGUAGUUUGGUUCUUCGUAUGGUUUUGAGUGAUAUAACUUGUACACACUGGGUGCAUAAUAAUGUAAAGGCACACUGAAUAGUAGUAAUUACCAACAGCAACAAACAGAUCUCCUCAAAGUAAGUCUGUUGGCUGUGUUUUAAUGAAGACCAUCGCUGGACUUCAGGAUCUUCCUCCGUUCAGCUCAAGGUGAGGCGCUGGUUCUGUUUUUCUUUGGUUGGUUCCGGCCGGAAUGUUCGGAUUCCAGUCGGACGGUUUGUGCUUCCCGCCGUGGAAGGUUCUGAGUGCGGUCACUUCAUUUAGUCUGAAUGGUUAGCAUAGAACGUUGUAGUCUUGAUAACCAUAAGAAACCACCUGGCAGUUAGUUGGACGGGAGUCCCCUGAGGGAAUCUGGCGGAACGUUCUGGAUUGUAUUUGCGUAACCUCGAUCCGUUGCGAACAAACUAUUUUUCAGUCGGUUUCCAUUGGGAAUUGUUGCCCCCUAUCUUAAACAACUUAAGUUUGAUAUUAAAUACAUACGGACACGCACGUCGUGCAAUAUGUUGAUAAUUUCCGAUGGUUGCGCCGUACUUUUAACCACGAUGACGUUGCGGGACUCUCACUGCGUACAAAACGGCGUUCUACUUGCGGGCCCAUUUUUUACAUCAGGGAAGGCUGAAAAUCAUUUCAAGGUGGAAGAUAAUUUGACAUUUCUUCAACGGAACCCAGCACCUGAAUAUGGCUGAGUAUAUUUGAUUUAAUAUCGAUACUGCUUAGUGUUCUUUGUUACUUCAGCUUUUGUACGUCCUAAAUAUCUGCUGUCAUUAAUUGCCACAGAAGUUAAACCCUACCCAAUGGAAUGACGUUAAACAACGACUUUGGUGCAGAGUUACAGACUGGAUAAUAUCAAUGCUAAAAUAAUGGCCGUAAUUCACACAUGUUACAGUAGAAGAUACUCUAGAACUGUACAAGGUUAAAAAGGUAACAUGUAGUUUGUCCCAAGGUGUCUGCCUCCUCACCCAGAGCAAGGCCUCCACCUCCUCACCCAGAGCCAGACCUCCACCUCCUGUCAGAAGUCCUCCAGAACAGCUGAAAGGCGAGGCUGAGAGGCUGGGGACCGGAAGCUUGUGGUGCCAGGGUGAACCGGAGACUGAGGCUGGAGACCAGAGACCUGCGGCACUGGACCAGAGGGUAACCAUCGACAAGCUCAUCUGAAACACUAAAAUCCACGACCAGGAAUCCAUGGCUGAAGGAGCUGAUGGAGGAGCCGAGCUGAUGGAGGAGUCGUGCUGAAGGCCCUGCCUUGUGGAGGAGCUGGUGGAGGCCCUGCCUGGUGAAGGACGUCUGUCGUGGGACCAGGACUCUGUCUGAGGAGAGCUGCUGGAGGAGCUGAGACGCUGGAGGACGACUAGGAAUCGACCAACAAGGAUUCCUCAACGUGUUUCUGGAGCGGAGGCGAGCUGGUAGGGGAGCUAUGAAUCUGGAGGAUGACCAUCACUCUACCAACAAGGAUUACUUUAGGGCCAGACCCGCGCUGUUUGUUCAAGACCAGGACUCUGGCUGAGGAGAGCUGAUGGAGGAGCCAAGACUCUGGAGGACGACAUCACUCCGCCAACCAGGAUCCUCACACACCUGAGCUGAACCUCAGCUGAUCCUGUUUGGUCGGGGGUAGACACACCUGAGCUAAACCCGCCCUGAUCCUGACAUCCUUCUGGUCCCGUCUCCUCAGUUCAUCUGAGCCUCGUCCUCCAGAAGACCUGCUGAGCUCAGCUGUCUGAGGCUGAUGGAUCAAUGACCUCCAGUGGGAGUGAUCUUCUUGACCCCACAUGUAACCGUGUGCUUCCACACGCCUUUUCCUCACGUCUGUCACUAACCUCACUGCUUCACUACUCUCUACUACUUCCUCUUUUCUUCCUUCUCUGUGGUUCAAACCUUUACACUGAAGGCGCGUCUUCCUGCCCUCAGAGGGUUUAGUGUUAGGGUUGAGAGUCAGGGUUUAGAGUCAGGGACAGAGCUGGUCAGGGAGGACUGCUUUUACACAAACCUCUUCACUUGCUUUCGGAAUGGUGGUGACAUUUUGAAAAGAUUCAUUUGGGAAAAUGUUUUCCUCUGCUUUCCUUUAAAAAAAAAAUGUAAACUUCUGACAAGUGUUUUUGUUUAUAUAAUAAAAUAACACA
Long non-coding RNA from Gadus chalcogrammus (walleye pollock), 2625 nucleotides. RefSeq lists it as uncharacterized. Lineage: Eukaryota; Metazoa; Chordata; Actinopteri; Gadiformes; Gadidae. The transcript is spliced from 7 exons. The record is from RefSeq and is a predicted model, not a curated record.